CUCUCCCUCUCGGCCGCGUCUUCUCUCUCUCCCCGACCUCUCUUUCUCGCACACUCUCUCUUCUUCUCUCUGCAACCACCGGAAAACACCAUUUCCGGCCACCAUCUCACCACACCGCCACCACCAAUCAACGCAGCUUCUGAAUCCGACCCAAACCCAAGAAAAAUCUGAACCAUGCAUCAACCUCUCACUCUUCUUCUUUCCUCUGCCACCACCGGAGACUCCAGCUCCAGCCACCAUCUUGCAACACCGCCGCCACCCUUCAAACUAGCACCCAAAUCCAACCAAAACCUAGCCAUUCCGCUGUCGAUCGAAAGAUCCUAACCACCGCAUGCAUGCCCGGAAACCUACGACGCCAUGCCAUCCGCGUUCACUGGUCUUCGAACCUUUUCCAUAACCACUGCCGCCACCAACGGGUUCAGGGCAGGCUGUUCAUCAACACUCCAAAGCCUCGUCGCCGACUCGACGCCGGAGAACUCCAUAUACGCCUUCGCCGGCGAUCUGGGCUUCUACAAGGCUAGGGUUACGACCUCUGACCACGAUUGAGUGAAGCCAUCACCUUGAAGAAGCUUAGGACUGCACGAAUCACCUUAACCCCUUAAUCCCGACUUCUGAUUCUGACCAGAACCACCGUAAGCGCUUCACGUGCCGCCGAUGGCGCGUGAGAUACUCCAGCUCCGCCGUGAUCUUCACCGGCGUAAUCCCUUCAUUUGCUAAGAUGUUCUCAAGUCUCAUUCCUUGGGUAGUUGAACUUCAAUUCCGAUAUAAGUAGGUUUCUAAUCUUGGGUUUUCUGGACUUGGUUGAAACAUGGACUUUUCAGAUCAGAUGGAAAGCUUCUGGUCUUGUUUUCAAUUCUGUUUUAAAGAGAUGAGGAAGAACUGAUGAGGGCUAUGAGGUGUAGCAGGUCAUUGAGUUCAUGACCUUGGCAAGAAUCGAGAUAGGACCGAAGUUUUGGAUGAAGGACAUUAGUCUGAGGCCACCACUGCGUCGAAGAGUUCUGUAAGAUACCUGGGAUCCGAAAGGUUAAAGGUGGUGGAUUGCAGUCACGACAAAUUAGCUUCUAGUUUGGGAGAGAAGAUUGGUAAGGGCCUGAUUUGGUGAUCUUGGAAUUGUUGUGGUUGAAUUGAACAAAAUUGUGAAUUCAUGGUGAAUUAAGCAUGUUGUAAGAUGAUUGGAAAAUGGAUUAAAUGGAGGUUGAAUUGAGGUGACUUUUUAUUUUGA
Molecule: long non-coding RNA, 1222 nt
Organism: Rosa chinensis
Lineage: Eukaryota; Viridiplantae; Streptophyta; Magnoliopsida; Rosales; Rosaceae
Exons: 3
Source: RefSeq, a predicted model, not a curated record